This 1067-nucleotide ribosomal RNA is filed under the name Salmonella enterica. RNAcentral's name for it is "partial 23S ribosomal RNA". It matches the Rfam family "Bacterial large subunit ribosomal RNA", at positions 161 to 1268 of the family's 2925-position model. RNAcentral also lists the same sequence under 1 other name. The record is from RNAcentral. Lineage: Bacteria; Pseudomonadati; Pseudomonadota; Gammaproteobacteria; Enterobacterales; Enterobacteriaceae.
AAUCCAUAGGUUAAUGAGGCGAACCGGGGGAACUGAAACAUCUAAGUACCCCGAGGAAAAGAAAUCAACCGAGAUUCCCCCAGUAGCGGCGAGCGAACGGGGAGGAGCCCAGAGCCUGAAUCAGCAUGUGUGUUAGUGGAAGCGUCUGGAAAGGCGCGCGAUACAGGGUGACAGCCCCGUACACAAAAGCGCAUGUGCUGUGAGCUCGAUGAGUAGGGCGGGACACGUGGUAUCCUGUCUGAAUAUGGGGGGACCAUCCUCCAAGGCUAAAUACUCCUGACUGACCGAUAGUGAACCAGUACCGUGAGGGAAAGGCGAAAAGAACCCCGGCGAGGGGAGUGAAAAAGAACCUGAAACCGUGUACGUACAAGCAGUGGGAGCACCCUUUGGGUGUGACUGCGUACCUUUUGUAUAAUGGGUCAGCGACUUAUAUUCUGUAGCAAGGUUAACCGAAUAGGGGAGCCGGAGGGAAACCGAGUCUUAACCGGGCGUUAAGUUGCAGGGUAUAGACCCGAAACCCGGUGAUCUAGCCAUGGGCAGGUUGAAGGUUGGGUAACACUAACUGGAGGACCGAACCGACUAAUGUUGAAAAAUUAGCGGAUGACCUGUGGCUGGGGGUGAAAGGCCAAUCAAACCGGGAGAUAGCUGGUUCUCCCCGAAAGCUAUUUAGGUAGCGCCUCGUGAAUUCAUCUCCGGGGGUAGAGCACUGUUUCGGCUAGGGGGCCAUCCCGGCUUACCAACCCGAUGCAAACUGCGAAUACCGGAGAAUGUUAUCACGGGAGACACACGGCGGGUGCUAACGUCCGUCGUGAAGAGGGAAACAACCCAGACCGCCAGCUAAGGUCCCAAAGUCAUGGUUAAGUGGGAAACGAUGUGGGAAGGCCCAGACAGCCAGGAUGUUGGCUUAGAAGCAGCCAUCAUUUAAAGAAAGCGUAAUAGCUCACUGGUCGAGUCGGCCUGCGCGGAAGAUGUAACGGGGCUAAACCAUGCACCGAAGCUGCGGCAGCGACACUGUGUGUUGUUGGGUAGGGGAGCGUUCUGUAAGCCUGUGAAGGUGUGUCGUGAGG